GACGAACGCUGGCGGCGUGCCUAAUACAUGCAAGUAGAACGCACAGUUUAUACCGUAGCUUGCUACACCAUAGACUGUGAGUUGCGAACGGGUGAGUAACGCGUAGGUAACCUGCCUGGUAGCGGGGGAUAACUAUUGGAAACGAUAGCUAAUACCGCAUAAUAUUAAUUAUUGCAUGAUAAUUAAUUGAAAGGUGCAAUUGCACCACUACCAUAUGGACCUGCGUUGUAUUAGCUAGUAGGUGAGGUAACGGCUCACCUAGGCGACGAUACAUAGCCGACCUGAGAGGGUGAUCGGCCACACUGGGACUGAGACACGGCCCAGACUCCUACGGGAGGCAGCAGUAGGGAAUCUUCGGCAAUGGACGAAAGUCUGACCGAGCAACGCCGCGUGAGUGAAGAAGGUUUUCGGAUCGUAAAGCUCUGUUGUAAGAGAAGAACGGGUGUGAGAGUGGAAAGUUCACACUGUGACGGUAUCUUACCAGAAAGGGACGGCUAACUACGUG
Molecule: ribosomal RNA, 505 nt
Filed under: uncultured bacterium
Lineage: Bacteria
Description: partial 16S ribosomal RNA
Rfam family: Bacterial small subunit ribosomal RNA
Source: RNAcentral